GUUAUGAUCUUGAAAUUUAAAGGAUUUGGCGGUGUCCCAACUCGUCAGAGGAACCUGUUCUUGAAACGAUAUGCCACGAAAAAUCUUACUUUGUCUUGUACUAAAUGCAGCUGGUAUACCGCCAUUAUAUAAACACUUCAAGGUGGAAUGACAGAAGAGCUUAAAAUCCUACUUAUAUUAGGUCAAGGUGCCGCUUAUGACAAAGGUAGUGAUGGGUUACAUUGUAUUUUAUAAUUUCGGAGGGGAACUUGAAACAGUUCUUUGAAGUCGGAUUUGAUUGUAAGUCUGUUGUUAGUAUGCUAGAUUGAUAACAGCGCUGGGGCGUGUACAAAUAGCCCGUCGCUCGCGGGAAAA
This 354-nucleotide ribosomal RNA is filed under the name Coralliocaris graminea. RNAcentral's name for it is "partial 12S ribosomal RNA". It matches the Rfam family "Bacterial small subunit ribosomal RNA", at positions 879 to 1411 of the family's 1533-position model. The record is from RNAcentral. Lineage: Eukaryota; Metazoa; Arthropoda; Malacostraca; Decapoda; Palaemonidae.